Long non-coding RNA from Callithrix jacchus (white-tufted-ear marmoset), 2115 nucleotides. NCBI's taxonomy places the organism in Eukaryota, Metazoa, Chordata, Mammalia, Primates, Cebidae. The record is from Ensembl.
AUGGCUGCUACACAUGUCUGCCUGUUUAUAAAUCACAUCAUGGCUGCUACACAUGUCUGCCUGUUUAUAAAUCACAUCAUGGCUGCCACACACGUCUGCCUGUUUAUAAGUCACAUCAUAGCUGCCAUACAUGUCUGCCUGUUUAUAAAUCACAUCAUAGAUGCUACACAUGUCUGCCUGUUUAUAAAUCACAUCAUGGCUGCCAUACAUGUCUUCCUGUUUAUAAAUCACAUCAUGGCUGCCACACACGUCUGCCUGUUUAUAAAUCACAUCAUGGCUGCCACACAUGUCUACCUGAUUAUCAAUCACAUCAUGGCUGCUACACAUGUCUGCCUGUUUAUAAAUCACAUCAUAGCUGCCACAUAUGUCUGCCUGUUUAUAAAUCACAUCAUAGCUGCCACAUAUGUCUGCCUGUUUAUAAAUCACAUCAUAGCUGCUACACAUGUCUGCCUGUUUAUAAAUCACAUCAUGGCUGCCACACAUGUCUGCCUGUUUAUAAAUCACAUCAUGGCUGCUACACAUGUCUGCCUGAUUAUCAAUCACAUCAUAGAUGCUACACAUGUCUGCCUGUUUAUAAAUCACAUCAUGGCUGCCAUACAUGUCUUCCUGUUUAUAAAUCACAUCAUGGCUGCCACACACGUCUGCCUGUUUAUAAAUCACAUCAUGGCUGCCACACAUGUCUGCCUGAUUAUCAAUCACAUCAUGGCUGCUACACAUGUCUGCCUGUUUAUAAAUCACAUCAUAGCUGCCACAUAUGUCUGCCUGUUUAUAAAUCACAUCAUAGCGGCCACACAUGUCUGCCUGUUUAUAAAUCACAUCAUAGAUGCUACACAUGUCUGCCUGUUUAUAAAUCACAUCAUGGCUGCCACACAUGUCUGCCUGUUUAUAAAUCACAUCAUAGAUGCUACACAUGUCUGCCUGUUUAUAAAUCACAUCAUGGCUGCCACACAUGUCUGCCUGUUUAUAAAUUACAUCAUAGCCGCCAUACAUGUCUGCCUGUUUAUAAAUCACAUCAUAGAUGCUACACAUGUCUGCCUGUUUAUAAAUCACAUCAUGGCUGCCACAGAUGUCUGCCUGUUUAUAAAUCACAUCAUAGAUGCUACACAUGUCUGCCUGUUUAUAAAUCACAUCAUAGCCGCCAUACAUGUCUGCCUGUUUAUAAAUCACAUCAUGGCUGCCACACAUGUCUGCCUGUUUAUAAAUCACAUCAUAGCCGCCAUACAUGUCUGCCUGUUUAUAAAUCACAUCAUAGAUGCUACACAUGUCUGCCUGUUUAUAAAUCACAUCAUGGCUGCCACACAUGUCUGCCUGUUUAUAAAUCACAUCAUAGAUGCUACACAUGUCUGCCUGUUUAUAAAUCACAUCAUAGCCGCCAUACAUGUCUGCCUGUUUAUAAAUCACAUCAUAGAUGCUACACAUGUCUGCCUGUUUAUAAAUCACAUCAUGGCUGCCACACAUGUCUGCCUGUUUAUAAAUCACAUCACAGCCGCCAUACAUGUCUGCCUGUUUAUAAAUCACAUCAUAGAUGCUACACAUGUCUGCCUGUUUAUAAAUCACAUCAUGGCUGCCACACAUGUCUGCCUGUUUAUAAAUCACAUCAUGGCUGCUACACAUGUCUGCCUGUUUAUAAAUCACAUCAUAGCCGCCAUACAUGUCUGCCUGUUUAUAAAUCACAUCAUGGCUGCCACACAUGUCUGCCUGUUUAUAAAUCACAUCAUGGCUGCUACACAUGUCUGCCUGUUUAUAAAUCACAUCAUAGCCGCCAUACAUGUCUGCCUGUUUAUAAAUCACAUCAUGGCUGCUACACAUGUCUGCCUGUUUAUAAAUCACAUCAUAGCCGCCAUACAUGUCUGCCUGUUUAUAAAUCACAUCAUGGCUGCUACACAUGUCUGCCUGUUUAUAAAUCACAUCAUGGCUGCUACACAUGUCUGCCUGUUUAUAAAUCACAUCAUGGCUGCCACACAUGUCUGCCUGUUUAUAAAUCAGAUUUGGAGUUCCUGUGAACUGUGUCCCAGAAACACAUGGUGUUGUGCUAUGACAAAGCGUCACUCACCAGCCCAAGUUUGGGUUGGCUUUGUGAGCAGGAAGUCCCAAGCCACCAAAAGUGAUACAUAG